This 253-nucleotide ribosomal RNA is filed under the name uncultured bacterium. Its description in RNAcentral is "partial 16S ribosomal RNA". It matches the Rfam family "Bacterial small subunit ribosomal RNA", at positions 524 to 776 of the family's 1533-position model. The record is from RNAcentral.
UACGUAGGGGGCUAGCGUUGUCCGGAAUCAUUGGGCGUAAAGGGUGCGUAGGCGGCGCGGUAAGUCGGGUGUGAAAUCUCCGAGCUUAACUCGGAACGGUCAACUGAUACUGUGCGGCUAGAGUGCGGAAGGGGCAACUGGAAUUCUUGGUGUAGCAGUGAAAUGCGUAGAGAUCAUGAGGAGGACCAAUGGCGAAGGCGGGUCUCUGGACAGUUCCUGACACUGAGACACGAAGGCCAGGGGAGCAAACGGG